GUGGGGAAUAUUGGACAAUGGGGGGAACCCUGAUCCAGCCAUGCCGCGUGUGUGAAGAAGGCCUUUUGGUUGUAAAGCACUUUAAGCGAGGAGGAGGCUACUAGUAUUAAUACUACUGGAUAGUGGACGUUACUCGCAGAAUAAGCACCGGCUAACUCUGUGCCAGCAGCCGCGGUAAUACAGAGGGUGCGAGCGUUAAUCGGAUUUACUGGGCGUAAAGCGUGCGUAGGCGGCUGAUUAAGUCGGAUGUGAAAUCCCUGAGCUUAACUUAGGAAUUGCAUUCGAUAGUGGUCAGCUAGAGUAUGGGAGAGGAUGGUAGAAUUCCAGGUGUAGCGGUGAAAUGCGUAGAGAUCUGGAGGAAUACCGAUGGCGAAGGCAGCCAUCUGGCCUAAUACUGACGCUGAGGUACGAAAGCAUGGGGAGCAAACAGGAUUAGAAACCCCUGUAGUCC
RNAcentral lists this ribosomal RNA (451 nucleotides) under uncultured bacterium. RNAcentral's name for it is "partial 16S ribosomal RNA". It matches the Rfam family "Bacterial small subunit ribosomal RNA", at positions 354 to 796 of the family's 1533-position model. The record is from RNAcentral.